RNAcentral lists this ribosomal RNA (369 nucleotides) under uncultured microorganism. Its description in RNAcentral is "bacterial SSU rRNA". It matches the Rfam family "Bacterial small subunit ribosomal RNA", at positions 9 to 361 of the family's 1533-position model. The record is from RNAcentral.
GAGUUUGAUCCUGGCUCAGGAUGAACGCUGGCGGCGUGCUUAACACAUGCAAGUCGAACGAGGAAUCUUAAAUGAGACUUCGGUGGAUUUUAAAAUUCUUAGUGGCGGACGGGUGAGUAACGCGUGGGCAACCUGCCCUGUACAGGGGGACAACAGCUGGAAACGGCUGCUAAUACCGCAUAAGACCACGGAGCCGCAUGGCUCAGUGGGAAAAACUCCGGUGGUACAGGAUGGGCCCGCGUUGGAUUAGGUAGUUGGUGAGGUAACGGCCCACCAAGCCGACGAUCCAUAGCCGACCCUGAGAGGGUGACCGGCCACCGUUGGGACUGAGACACGGCCCAAACUCCUACGGGAGGCAGCAGUGGGGAA